GCUUGUCUCAAAGAUUAAGCCAUGCAUGUCUAAGUAUAAAUGGUAUACAGUGAAACUGCGAAUGGCUCAUUAAAACAGUUAUAGUUUAUUUGGUAUUCGAAUUUACAUGGAUAACCGUGGUAAUUCUAGAGCUAAUACAUGCGUCAAAACCCGACUCCUGGGAGGGUUGUAUUUAUUAGAUGGAAACCAAUGCGGGGCAACCCGGUAUAUGGUGAUUCAUAAUAACUUUCGGAUCGAUCUUCGGAUCGAUGCAUCAUUCAAGUUUCUGCCCUAUCAGCUUUGGAUGGUAGGGUAUUGGCCUACCAUGGCUUUAACGGGUAACGGAGAAUUAGGGUUCGAUUCCGGAGAGGGAGCCUGAGAAAUGGCUACCACAUCCAAGGAAGGCAGCAGG
This 391-nucleotide ribosomal RNA is filed under the name Uroglenopsis americana. Its description in RNAcentral is "partial small subunit ribosomal RNA". It matches the Rfam family "Eukaryotic small subunit ribosomal RNA", at positions 30 to 432 of the family's 1831-position model. The record is from RNAcentral. Lineage: Eukaryota; Chrysophyceae; Chromulinales; Chromulinaceae.